AGUGAACGCUGGCGGUAGGCCUAACACAUGCCAGUCGAACGGCAGCACAGUAAGAGCUUGCUCUUACGGGUGGCGAGUGUCGGACGGGUGAGGAAUACAUCGGAAUCUACUUUUUCGUGGGGGAUAACGUAGGGAAACUUACGCUAAUACCGCAUACGACCUACGGGUGAAAGCAGGGGAUCUUCGGACCUUGCGCGAUUGAAUGAGCCGAUGUCGGAUUAGCUAGUUGGCGGGGUAAAGGCCCACCAAGGCGACGAUCCGUAGCUGGUCUGAGAGGAUGAUCAGCCACACUGGAACUGAGACACGGUCCAGACUCCUACGGGAGGCAGCAGUGGGGAAUAUUGGACAAUGGGCGCAAGCCUGAUCCAGCCAUACCGCGUGGGUGAAGAAGGCCUUCGGGUUGGAAAGCCCUUUUGUUGGGAAAGAAAAGCAGCAGGUUAAUACCCCGCUGUUCUGACGGUACCCAAAGAAUAAGCACCGGCUAACUUCGUG
Molecule: ribosomal RNA, 492 nt
Filed under: uncultured bacterium
Lineage: Bacteria
Description: partial 16S ribosomal RNA
Rfam family: Bacterial small subunit ribosomal RNA
Source: RNAcentral